RNAcentral lists this ribosomal RNA (400 nucleotides) under phytoplankton environmental sample. RNAcentral describes it as "partial small subunit ribosomal RNA". It matches the Rfam family "Eukaryotic small subunit ribosomal RNA", at positions 587 to 983 of the family's 1831-position model. The record is from RNAcentral.
AGCUCCAAUAGCGUAUAUUAAAGUUGUUGCAGUUAAAAAGCUCGUAGUUGGAUUUGGGACGGGGGUCGCGCGGUCGGCCGCAAGGUCUGCUACUGUGCGGCCUUGUCAUUUACACUCUCGGAGACCCGUCGUGCACUUCGCUAUGCGCGGCGCGGGACUCGGGACGUUUACUUUGAAAAAAUUAGAGUGUUCAAAGCAGGCUUCAUCAAGCCCGGAUACAUGAGCAUGGAAUAAUGGAAUAGGACCGCGGUUCUAUUUUGUUGGUUUCUACGACCGCAGUAAUGAUUAAGAGGGACAAUUGGGGGCGUCCGUAUUUCGUUGUCAGAGGUGAAAUUCUUGGAUUUACGAAAGACGAACAACUGCGAAAGCAUUCGCCAAGAGUGUUUUCAUUAAUCAAGAA